CCAAAUGGGGCUCGGAACCACGCGCGCAGCCGGGGACGUUUCUCCAAUGUCUCAUGCCAACUGCAAAUCCGCGUGGAUUCCAGCUUCCAAAACCCCUACCCUUGAGUACCUGCCUUUUGUUGCCUCGGCGGAUCCGUCCGCCAGAGGACCAAGUCAAACUACUGCUGUAAACGUGUAGUCUGAGCUGCAAAGCAAUUGUUA
RNAcentral lists this unclassified non-coding RNA (201 nucleotides) under uncultured Ascomycota. Its description in RNAcentral is "sequence contains ITS1". The record is from RNAcentral. Lineage: Eukaryota; Fungi; Ascomycota.